Molecule: ribosomal RNA, 665 nt
Filed under: uncultured bacterium
Lineage: Bacteria
Description: bacterial SSU rRNA
Rfam family: Bacterial small subunit ribosomal RNA
Source: RNAcentral
GCUUGCUGGGGGGAUUAGUGGCGAACGGGUGAGUAACACGUGAGUAACCUGCCCUUAACUCUGGGAUAAGCCUGGGAAACUGGGUCUAAUACUGGAUAUUGACUUUACCUCGCAUGGGGUUUGGUUGAAAGAUUUAUUGGUUUUGGAUGGACUCGCGGCCUAUCAGCUUGUUGGUGAGGUAAUGGCUCACCAAGGCGACGACGGGUAGCCGGCCUGAGAGGGUGACCGGCCACACUGGGGCUGAGACACGGCCCAGACUCCUACGGGAGGCAGCAGUGGGGAAUAUUGCACAAUGGGCGAAAGCCUGAUGCAGCGACGCCGCGUGAGGGAUGACGGCCUUCGGGUUGUAAACCUCUUUCAGUAGGGAACAAGGCCAAUGUUUAGUUGGUUGAGGGUACUUGCAGAAGAAGCACCGGCUAACUACGUGCCAGCAGCCGCGGUAAUACGUAGGGUGCAAGCGUUAUCCGGAAUUAUUGGGCGUAAAGAGCUCGUAGGCGGUUUGUCGCGUCUGCCGUGAAAGUCCGGGGCUCAACCCCGGAUCUGCGGUGGGUACGGGCAGACUAGAGUGAUGUAGGGGAGACUGGAAUUCCUGGUGUAGCGGUGAAAUGCGCAGAUAUCAGGAGGAACACCGAUGGCGAAGGCAGGUCUCUGGGCAUUAACUGACG